AACAGGGAUUGCUUGCAAUCCGCUGACGACCGGCGCACGGGUGCGUAACGCGUAUGCAACCUACCUUUUACAAGGGGAUAGCCCAGAGAAAUUUGGAAUAAUACCCUAUACGAUCAUUAAUUGGCAUCAAUUAAUGAAGAAAACUCCGGUGGUAAAAGAUGGGCAUGCGUCCUAUUAGUUAGUUGGUAGGGUAACGGCUUACCAAGACUCCGAUAGGUAGGGGUCCUGAGAGGGAGAUCCCCCACACUGGUACUGAGACACGGACCAGACUCCUACGGGAGGCAGCAGUGAGGAAUAUUGGACGAUGGAGGCAACUCUGAUCCAGCCAUGCCGCGUGCAGGACGACGGCCCUACGGGUUGUAAACUGCUUUUAUACAGGAAGAACUAUAUCUACGUGUAGAUAUUUGACGGUACUGUACGAAUAAGGAUCGGCUAACUCCGUGCCAGCAGCCGCGGUAAUACGGAGGAUCCAAGCGUUAUCCGGAAUCAUUGGGUUCAAAGGGUCCGUAGGCGGUCUAAUAAGUCAGAGGUGAAAUCCUACAGCUCAACUGUAGCAUUGCCUUUGAUACUGUUAGACUUGAGUUAUUGUGAAGUAGUUAGAAUGUGUAGUGUAGCGGUGAAAUGCAUAGAUAUUACACAGAAUACGAUUGCGAAGGCAGACUACUAACAAUAUACUGACGCUGAGGGACGAAAGCGUGGGUAGCGAAACAGGAUUAGAAACCCUGGUAGUCCACGCCGUAAACGAUGGAUACUAGCUGUUCGAUCAAC
RNAcentral lists this ribosomal RNA (768 nucleotides) under uncultured marine bacterium. RNAcentral's name for it is "bacterial SSU rRNA". It matches the Rfam family "Bacterial small subunit ribosomal RNA", at positions 70 to 832 of the family's 1533-position model. The record is from RNAcentral.